Molecule: long non-coding RNA, 240 nt
Organism: Neogale vison (American mink)
Lineage: Eukaryota; Metazoa; Chordata; Mammalia; Carnivora; Mustelidae
Exons: 3
Source: RefSeq, a predicted model, not a curated record
CCAAGCUUCAUCGGAGACCCUGGAGAGAAAAGCAGCUCCAAUUACAAAUUUUAUGAGUAAGCAGGUAUUAAAGAGAACAAGUAUUAUGAUUUAUAUCUAGGCUACAAAUGAGGAGUUCAGGAUCGAACUCAGAAUGCAAAAAGCAUCACUGUAGCAGUCAGGGCUUGAUCAGAAGAUAAAAUAAGGCGGCAUUUUAUUAUAAGGACUUGAUCUUAUGCAAUUGAGAAGGCAGGACAGAUG